RNAcentral lists this ribosomal RNA (508 nucleotides) under uncultured bacterium. Its description in RNAcentral is "partial 16S ribosomal RNA". It matches the Rfam family "Bacterial small subunit ribosomal RNA", at positions 30 to 523 of the family's 1533-position model. The record is from RNAcentral.
AUUGAACGCUGGCGGCAUGCCUUACACAUGCAAGUCGAACGGCAGCGGGGGAGAAGCUUGCUUUUCCUGCCGGCGAGUGGCGAACGGGUGAGUAAUACAUCGGAACGUGCCCUGUAGUGGGGGAUAACUAGUCGAAAGAUUAGCUAAUACCGCAUACGACCUGAGGGUGAAAGUGGGGGACCGCAAGGCCUCAUGCUAUAGGAGCGGCCGAUGUCUGAUUAGCUAGUUGGGGGGGUAAAGGCCUACCAAGGCGACGAUCAGUAGCUGGUCUGAGAGGACGAUCAGCCACACUGGGACUGAGAAACGGCCCAGACUCCUACGGGAGGCAGCAGUGGGGAAUUUUGGACAAUGGGCGAAAGCCUGAUCCAGCAAUGCCGCGUGUGUGAAGAAGGCCUUCGGGUUGUAAAGCACUUUUGUCCGGAAAGAAAUGGCUCUGGUUAAUACCUGGGGUCGAUGACGGUACCGGAAGAAUAAGGACCGGCUAACUACGUGCCAGCCGCCGCUGUAA